RNAcentral lists this non-coding RNA (103 nucleotides) under uncultured Phytobacter sp. Its description in RNAcentral is "iscR stability element". It matches the Rfam family "iscR stability element". Lineage: Bacteria; Pseudomonadati; Pseudomonadota; Gammaproteobacteria; Enterobacterales; Enterobacteriaceae. The record is from RNAcentral.
AAAAAUCUGGAAUCAGGCCGGGGUGGAAACACCCCGCAUAACGGCUGAACAUCCGACCGCAAGCCUGGUUCAUUGCAUUGAGUGAUGUACGGAGUUUAAGAGC